AAGACUAUACUUUCUUGGAUCAUUUCUGUAGUGAUUGAUUAGAAAAUGUGAUUUGAACGUGUUACGUCUCCUUAAUCACGAUGAAGAGCUGUGAUGUAUUCUUCUGAGCGUGAAUCAGAUUCAAGCUACUGAUUUCUGUUACAGGCUUGAAUCAUUAAUGAACAUUUUCUGUUUAUUAUGAUGUAUGUGCUGAAGAGUACAUGAUCAGAGUGAU
Molecule: small nucleolar RNA, 214 nt
Organism: Hemibagrus wyckioides
Lineage: Eukaryota; Metazoa; Chordata; Actinopteri; Siluriformes; Bagridae
Product: small nucleolar RNA U3
Exons: 1
Source: RefSeq, a predicted model, not a curated record